GGUCAAGCGAAUAAGCGCACACGGUGGAUGCCUUGGCGGUCAGAGGCGAUGAAGGACGUGGCAGCCUGCGAAAAGUAUCGGGGAGCUGGCAACAAGCUUUGAUCCGGUAAUGUCCGAAUGGGGAAACCCACCCGCUUGCGGGUAUCCUGCAGUGAAUACAUAGCUGCUGGAAGCGAACCUGGUGAACUGAAAUAUCUAAGUAACCAGAGGAAAAGAAAUCAACCGAGAUUCCGUAAGUAGCGACGAGCGAACGCGGACUAGCCCUUAAGCUGAUUUGGUUCUAGGAAAACGCUCUGGAAAGAGCGGCCAUAGAAGGUGAUAGCCCUGUAUCUGAAAGGGCCAUUUCAGUGAAGACGAGUAGGGCGGGGCACGUGAAACCCUGUCUGAACAUGGGGGGACCAUCCUCCAAGGCUAAAUACUACUGACCGACCGAUAGUGAACCAGUACCGUGAGGGAAAGGCGAAAAGAACCCCGGAGAGGGGAGUGAAAUAGAACCUGAAACCGUGUGCGUACAAGCAGUAGGAGCUCCGCAAGGAGUGACUGCGUACCUUUUGUAUAAUGGGUCAGCGACUUACUGUUCGUGGCAAGCUUAACCGUAUAGGGGAGGCGAAGGGAAACCGAGUCUGAUAAGGGCGCAUAGUCGCGGGCAGUAGACCCGAAACCGGGUGAUCUAGUCAUGCCCAGGGUGAAGGUGCGGUAACACGCACUGGAGGCCCGAACCCACUCCCGUUGCAAAGGUAGGGGAUGAGGUGUGAUUAGGAGUGAAAAGCUAAUCGAACCCGGAGAUAGCUGGUUCUCCUCGAAAGCUAUUUAGGUAGCGCCUCAUAUGUAUCCUCUCGGGGGUAGAGCACUGUUAUGGCUAGGGGGUCAUCGCGACUUACCAAACCAUUGCAAACUCCGAAUACCGAGACGGACUGUAUGGGAGACACACGGCGGGUGCUAACGUCCGUCGUGAAAAGGGAAACAACCCAGACCCACAGCUAAGGUCCCAAAUUCACUGCUAAGUGGAAAACCAUGUGGAAAGGCACAGACAGCCAGGAGGUUGGCUUAGAAGCAGCCACCCUUUAAAGAAAGCGUAAUAGCUCACUGGUCGAGUCGGUCUGCGGGGAAGAUUUAACGGGGCUAAGCAGUGAACCGAAGCUUGGGGUGCAUACUUUGUAUGCGCGGUAGAGGAGCGUUCCGUAAGCCGUUGAAGGUGGAUUGAGAAGUCUGCUGGAGGUAUCGGAAGUGCGAAUGCUGACAUGAGUAACGAUAAUGCGGGUGAAAAACCCGCACGCCGAAAGCCCAAGGUUUCCUUGCGCAACGUUAAUCGGCGCAGGGUGAGUCGGCCCCUAAGGCGAGGACGAAAGUCGUAGUCGAUGGGAAGCAGGUUAAUAUUCCUGCACCUCGCGUAAGUGCGAUGGAGGGACGGAGAAGGUUAGGUGUACCAGGCGUUGGUUGUCCUGGGGAAAGGCGGUAGGUUUGGAUCUUUGGCAAAUCCGGGAUCCUUUAAGACCGAGCACCGAGACGAGCCUUUAAGGCGAAGUCACUGAUACCACGCUUCCAGGAAAAGCUCCUAAGCUUCAGCUUACGCAGACCGUACCGUAAACCGACACAGGUGGGUAGGAUGAGAAUUCUCAGGCGCUUGAGAGAACUCGGGUGAAGGAACUAGGCAACAUGGCACCGUAACUUCGGGAGAAGGUGCACCCUUUUUGGUGGCUCGUGCGAGCUAUAGCUGAAGAGGGUCGCAGUAACCAGGCCGCUGCGACUGUUUAUCAAAAACACAGCACUCUGCAAACACGAAAGUGGACGUAUAGGGUGUGACGCCUGCCCGGUGCUGGAAGGUUAAUUGAUGGGGUCAGCCGCAAGGCGAAGCUCUUGAUCGAAGCCCCAGUAAACGGCGGCCGUAACUAUAACGGUCCUAAGGUAGCGAAAUUCCUUGUCGGGUAAGUUCCGACCUGCACGAAUGGCGUAACGACAGCGGCGCUGUCUCCACCCGAGACUCAGUGAAAUUGAAAUCGCUGUGAAGAUGCAGCGUUCCCGUGGCAAGACGGAAAGACCCCGUGAACCUUUACUAUAGCUUUACACUGAACGUUGAGUUCGUCUGUGUAGGAUAGGUGGGAGGCUAUGAAACUGUGGCGCUAGCUGCAGCGGAGCCAUCCUUGAAAUACCACCCUGUCGUGCUUGACGUUCUAACCUGGGCCCAUUAUCUGGGUCGGGGACCGUGUAUGGUGGGUAGUUUGACUGGGGCGGUCUCCUCCUAAAGAGUAACGGAGGAGCUCGAAGGUACGCUCAGCGCGGUCGGACAUCGCGCACUGUGUGCAAAGGCAUAAGCGUGCUUGACUGCAAGAUCGACGGAUCAAGCAGGUAGGAAACUAGGACUUAGUGAUCCGGUGGUUCUGUAUGGAAGGGCCAUCGCUCAACGGAUAAAAGGUACUCCGGGGAUAACAGGCUGAUACCGCCCAAGAGUUCAUAUCGACGGCGGUGUUUGGCACCUCGAUGUCGGCUCAUCACAUCCUGGGGCUGUAGUCGGUCCCAAGGGUAUGGCUGUUCGCCAUUUAAAGUGGUACGCGAGCUGGGUUCAGAACGUCGUGAGACAGUUCGGUCCCUAUCUGCCAUGGGCGUUGGAGAUUUGAGAGGGGCUGCUCCUAGUACGAGAGGACCGGAGUGGACGAACCUCUGGUGUUCCGGUUGUCACGCCAGUGGCAUUGCCGGGUAGCUAUGUUCGGAAGCGAUAACCGCUGAAAGCAUCUAAGCGGGAAGCGCGCCUCAAGAUGAGAUCUCCCGGGGCACAAGCCCCCUGAAGGAACCAUGUAGACUACGUGGUUGAUAGGUCAGGUGUGUAAGUACAGCAAUGUAUUGAGCUAACUGAUACUAAUGAUCCGUGCGGCUUGACCAU
RNAcentral lists this ribosomal RNA (2878 nucleotides) under Stenotrophomonas forensis. RNAcentral describes it as "Stenotrophomonas sp. DFS-20110405 23S ribosomal RNA". It matches the Rfam family "Bacterial large subunit ribosomal RNA". Lineage: Bacteria; Pseudomonadati; Pseudomonadota; Gammaproteobacteria; Lysobacterales; Lysobacteraceae. The record is from RNAcentral.